This 499-nucleotide ribosomal RNA is filed under the name uncultured bacterium. RNAcentral describes it as "bacterial SSU rRNA". It matches the Rfam family "Bacterial small subunit ribosomal RNA", at positions 8 to 507 of the family's 1533-position model. The record is from RNAcentral.
AGAGUUUGAUCCUGGCUCAGGAUGAACGCUAGCGGGAGGCCUAACACAUGCAAGCCGAGCGGUAUUGUUCUUCGGAAAUGAGAGAGCGGCGUACGGGUGCGGAACACGUGUGCAACCUGCCUUUAUCUGGGGGAUAGCCUUUACGAAAGGAAGAUUAAUACUCCAUAAUAUAUUGAUUGGCAUCAAUUAAUAUUGAAAGCUCCGGCGGAUAGAGAUGGGCACGCGCAAGAUUAGCUAGUUGGUGAGGUAACGGCUCACCAAGGCGAUGAUCUUUAGGGGGCCUGAGAGGGUGAUCCCCCACACUGGUACUGAGACACGGACCAGACUCCUACGGGAGGCAGCAGUGAGGAAUAUUGGUCAAUGGGUGCAAGCCUGAACCAGCCAUCCCGCGUGAAGGACGACUGCCCUAUGGGUUGUAAACUUCUUUUGUAUAGGGAUAAACCUACCCUCGUGAGGGUAGCUGAAGGUACUAUACGAAUAAGCACCGGCUAACUCCGUG